Molecule: unclassified non-coding RNA, 400 nt
Filed under: soil metagenome
Description: partial contains 5.8S ribosomal RNA, internal transcribed spacer 2, and large subunit ribosomal RNA
Rfam family: 5.8S ribosomal RNA (bases 1-122)
Source: RNAcentral
GAUGAAGAACGUAGCGAAAUGCGAUACUUGGUGUGAAUUGCAGAAUCCCGUGAACCAUCGAGUCUUUGAACGCAAGUUGCGCCUCAAGCCAUUAGGUUGAGGGCACGUCUGCCUGGGCGUCACAUAUCGUUGCCUGAUGCCAGUUUCCUCGUGAUGGGUGACUGUGCAGGGCGAAUGAUGGCUUCCCGUGAGCAUUGUUGCCUCAUGUUUGGUUGAAAAUUGAGUCCUUGGUAGGGAGCGCCGUGAUAGAUGGUGGUUGAGUGACGAACGAGACCCAAUCAUGUGAGACCCCUACCGAAUUUGGCCUUCAUGACCCACAUGCGUCUUUGGAACGCUCAUGACGAGACCUCAGGUCAGGCGGGGCUACCCGCUGAGUUUAAGCAUAUCAAUAAGCGGAGGA